UACAGAGGGUGCAAGCGUUAAUCGGAUUUACUGGGCGUAAAGAGCUCGUAGGCGGUUUGUCGCGUCUGCCGUGAAAGUCCGGGGCUUAACCCCGGAUCUGCGGUGGGUACGGGCAGACUAGAGUGCAGUAGGGGAGACUGGAAUUCCUGGUGUAGCGGUGAAAUGCGCAGAUAUCAGGAGGAACACCGAUGGCGAAGGCAGGUCUCUGGGCUGUAACUGACGCUGAGGAGCGAAAGCAUGGGGAGCGAACAGG
Molecule: ribosomal RNA, 253 nt
Filed under: uncultured bacterium
Lineage: Bacteria
Description: partial 16S ribosomal RNA
Rfam family: Bacterial small subunit ribosomal RNA
Source: RNAcentral